This 262-nucleotide ribosomal RNA is filed under the name uncultured bacterium. RNAcentral describes it as "partial 16S ribosomal RNA". The record is from RNAcentral.
CUGCUGCCUCCCGUAGGAGUUUGGGCCGUGUCUCAGUCCCAAUGUGGCCGUUCACCCUCUCAGGCCGGCUACUGAUCGUUGCCUUGGUAGGCCAUUACCCCACCAACUAGCUAAUCAGACGCGGAACCAUCGUAUACCACCAGAGUUUUUCACACCGCUUCAUGCGAAGCUGUGCGCUUAUGCGGUAUUAGCACCUAUUUCUAAGUGUUAUCCCCCAGUAUACGGCGGGUUUUCCACGCGUUACUCACCCGUCCGCCACUAA